This 72-nucleotide transfer RNA is filed under the name Diversibipalium mayottensis. RNAcentral describes it as "tRNA-Trp". Lineage: Eukaryota; Metazoa; Platyhelminthes; Tricladida; Geoplanidae. The record is from RNAcentral.
GUGGUUUUAAGUUAGUUUAAACUGUAAAUUUUCAAAAUUUAAAAAGAAGUUAGGAUAGUUCUUCAGACUGCA